GACGAACGCUGGCGGCGUGCUUAACACAUGCAAGUCGAACGGAAAGGCCCUGCUUUUGUGGGGUGCUCGAGUGGCGAACGGGUGAGUAACACGUGAGUAACCUGCCCUUGACUUUGGGAUAACUUCAGGAAACUGGGGCUAAUCCCGGAUAGGAGCUCCUGCUGCAUGGUGGGGGUUGGAAAGUUUCGGCGGUUGGGGAUGGACUCGCGGCUUAUCAGCUUGUUGGUGGGGUAGUGGCUUACCAAGGCUUUGACGGGUAGCCGGCCUGAGAGGGUGACCGGCCACAUGGGGACUGAGAUACGGCCCAGACGCCUACGGGAGGCAGCAGUGGGGAAUAUUGCACAAUGGGCGGAAGCCUGAUGCAGCAACGCCGCGUGUGGGAUGACGGCCUUCGGGUUGUAAACCGCUUUCGCCUGUGACGAAGCGUGAGUGACGGUAAUGGGUAAAGAAGCACCGGCUAACUACGUG
Molecule: ribosomal RNA, 468 nt
Filed under: uncultured bacterium
Lineage: Bacteria
Description: partial 16S ribosomal RNA
Rfam family: Bacterial small subunit ribosomal RNA
Source: RNAcentral